Molecule: unclassified non-coding RNA, 225 nt
Filed under: plant metagenome
Description: partial contains small subunit ribosomal RNA and internal transcribed spacer 1
Rfam family: Eukaryotic small subunit ribosomal RNA (bases 1-46)
Source: RNAcentral
AAGUCGUAACAAGGUUUCCGUAGGUGAACCUGCGGAAGGAUCAUUACUGAGUCAGGGUCCUCUGGGCCCGAACCUCCAACCCUAUGUUUAACUACUUUGUUGCUUUGGCAGGCCCGUCCUUCGGGGCCGCCGGGGUGUUCAAUCACCUCUGGUCAGUGCUUGUCAGUAGCCAAUCCAAAUUCUUUAUAAUAAUGAAGUCUGAAUCUUUAAUUAAAUUUAAUUAAA